AUUGAACGCUGGCGGCAGGCCUAACACAUGCAAGUCGAGCGGAGCGGCGGACGGGUGAGUAAUGCCUAGGCAUCUGACUGGUAGUGGGAGCUGGCGUCCGCAAACGGGCGCUACUACCGCAUACUCUCAGUUUAGCCUCGGUCGGAUGAGCUAGUUGGUGGGGUAAAGGCCUACCAAGGCGACGAUCCGUAACUGGUCUGAGAGGAUGAUCAGUCACACUGGAACUGAGACAAGGUCCAGACUCCUACGGGAGGCAGCAGUGGGGAAUAUUGGACAAUGGGCGAAAGCCUGAUCCAGCCAUGCCGCGUGGGUGAAGAAGGGCUUCGGAUUGUAAAGCACUUUAAGUUGGGAGGCGUUACCAACAGAAUAAGCACCGGCUAACUACGUGCCAGCCGCCGCGGUAAUAC
RNAcentral lists this ribosomal RNA (407 nucleotides) under uncultured bacterium. RNAcentral describes it as "partial 16S ribosomal RNA". It matches the Rfam family "Bacterial small subunit ribosomal RNA", at positions 30 to 526 of the family's 1533-position model. The record is from RNAcentral.